This 30-nucleotide non-coding RNA is filed under the name Mus musculus (house mouse). Lineage: Eukaryota; Metazoa; Chordata; Mammalia; Rodentia; Muridae. The record is from RNAcentral.
UAUCACGGAAAGGUAAGGCACUUACUUGGC